GAUGAAGAACGUAGCGAAAUGCGAUACGUAAUGUGAAUUGCAAAUUCAGUGAAUCAUCGAGUCUUUGAACGCACAUUGCUCCCCCUGGUAUUCCGGGGGGCAUGCCUGUCCGAGCGUCAUUGCUGCCCUCAAGCACGGCUUGUGUGUUGGGCCCCGUCCUCCGAUCCCGGGGGACGGGCCCGAAAGGCAGCGGCGGCACCGCGUCCGGUCCUCGAGCGUAUGGGGCUUUGUCACCCGCUCUGUAGGCCCGGCCGGCGCUUGCCGAUCAACCCAAAUUUUUAUCCAGGUUGACCUCGGAUCAGGUAGGGAUACCCGCUGAACUUAAGCAUAUCAAUAAGCGGAGGA
RNAcentral lists this unclassified non-coding RNA (345 nucleotides) under soil metagenome. RNAcentral's name for it is "partial contains 5.8S ribosomal RNA, internal transcribed spacer 2, and large subunit ribosomal RNA". The stretch from base 1 to 119 matches the Rfam family "5.8S ribosomal RNA", at positions 35 to 154 of the family's 154-position model. The record is from RNAcentral.